Molecule: ribosomal RNA, 539 nt
Filed under: uncultured bacterium
Lineage: Bacteria
Description: bacterial SSU rRNA
Rfam family: Bacterial small subunit ribosomal RNA
Source: RNAcentral
GAGGAAUAUUGGUCAAUGGGCGGAAGCCUGAACCAGCCAAGUAGCGUGCAGGAAGACGGCCCUAUGGGUUGUAAACUGCUUUUAUACGAGAAUAAUUUGAUGCACGUGUGCGUUAUUGCAUGUAUCGUAUGAAUAAGGACCGGCUAAUUCCGUGCCAGCAGCCGCGGUAAUACGGAAGGUCCAGGCGUUAUCCGGAUUUAUUGGGUUUAAAGGGAGUGUAGGCGGUUUGUUAAGCGUGUUGUGAAAUUUAGAUGCUCAACAUUUAACUUGCAGCGCGAACUGUCAGACUUGAGUACACGCAACGUAUGCGGAAUUCAUGGUGUAGCGGUGAAAUGCUUAGAUAUCAUGAAGAACUCCGAUUGCGAAGGCAGCAUACGGGAGUGUAACUGACGCUUAAGCUCGAAGGUGCGGGUAUCGAACAGGAUUAGAUACCCUGGUAGUCCGCACAGUAAACGAUGGAUGCCCGCUGUUAGCGCCUGGCGUUAGCGGCUAAGCGAAAGCAUUAAGCAUCCCACCUGGGGAGUACGCCGGCAACGGUG